This 1445-nucleotide ribosomal RNA is filed under the name uncultured organism. RNAcentral describes it as "SSU rRNA". It matches the Rfam family "Bacterial small subunit ribosomal RNA". The record is from RNAcentral.
UACAGGCUUAACACAUGCAAGUCGAGGGGCAUCAGGAAGAAAGCUUGCUUUCUUUGCUGGCGACCGGCGCACGGGUGAGUAACACGUAUCCAACCUGCCCUUUACUCGGGGAUAGCCUUUCGAAAGAAAGAUUAAUACCCGAUGGCAUAAUGAUUCCGCAUGGUUUCAUUAUUAAAGGAUUCCGGUAAAGGAUGGGGAUGCGUUCCAUUAGGUUGUUGGUGAGGUAACGGCCCACCAAGCCUUCGAUGGAUAGGGGUUCUGAGAGGAAGGUCCCCCACAUUGGAACUGAGACACGGUCCAAACUCCUACGGGAGGCAGCAGUGAGGAAUAUUGGUCAAUGGGCGGUAGCCUGAACCAGCCAAGUAGCGUGAAGGAUGAAGGCUCUAUGGGCCGUAAACUUCUUUUAUAUAAGAAUAAAGUGCAGUAUGUAUACUGUUUUGUAUGUAUUAUAUGAAUAAGGAUCGGCUAACUCCGUGCCAGCAGCCGCGGUAAUACGGAGGAUCCGAGCGUUAUCCGGAUUUAUUGGGUUUAAAGGGAGCGUAGGUGGACUGGUAAGUCAGUUGUGAAAGUUUGCGGCUCAACCGUAAAAUUGCAGUUGAUACUGUCAGUCUUGAGUACAGUAGAGGUGGGCGGAAUUCGUGGUGUAGCGGUGAAAUGCUUAGAUAUCACGAAGAACUCCGAUUGCGAAGGCAGCUCACUGGACUGCAACUGACACUGAUGCUCGAAAGUGUGGGUAUCAAACAGGAUUAGAUACCCUGGUAGUCCACUCAGUAAACGAUGAAUACUCGCUGUUUGCGAUAUACAGUAAGCGGCCAAGCGAAAGCAUUAAGUAUUCCACCUGGGGAGUACGCCGGCAACGGUGAAACUCAAAGGAAUUGACGGGGGCCCGCACAAGCGGAGGAACAUGUGGUUUAAUUCGAUGAUACGCGAGGAACCUUACCCGGGCUUAAAUUGCAGUGGAAUGAUGUGGAAACAUGUCAGUGAGCAAUCACCGCUGUGAAGGUGCUGCAUGGUUGUCGUCAGCUCGUGCCGUGAGGUGUCGGCUUAAGUGCCAUAACGAGCGCAACCCUUAUCUUCAGUUACUAACAGGUCAUGCUGAGGACUCUGGAGAGACUGCCGUCGUAAGAUGUGAGGAAGGUGGGGAUGACGUCAAAUCAGCACGGCCCUUACGUCCGGGGCUACACACGUGUUACAAUGGGGGGUACAGAAGGCAGCUAGCGGGUGACCGUAUGCUAAUCCCAAAAGCCUCUCUCAGUUCGGAUCGAAGUCUGCAACCCGACUUCGUGAAGCUGGAUUCGCUAGUAAUCGCGCAUCAGCCACGGCGCGGUGAAUACGUUCCCGGGCCUUGUACACACCGCCCGUCAAGCCAUGGGAGCCGGGGGUACCUGAAGUACGUAACCGCAAGGAUCGUCCUAGGGUAAAACUGGUGACUGGGGCUAAGUCAU